RNAcentral lists this ribosomal RNA (253 nucleotides) under uncultured bacterium. RNAcentral describes it as "partial 16S ribosomal RNA". It matches the Rfam family "Bacterial small subunit ribosomal RNA", at positions 524 to 776 of the family's 1533-position model. The record is from RNAcentral.
UACGGAGGGUGCAAGCGUUAUCCGGAUUUACUGGGUUUAAAGGGUGCGUAGGUGGGUAGAUAAGUCAGCGGUGAAAUCUCCAGGCUUAACUUGGAAACUGCCAUUGAUACUAUAGGUCUUGAAUACUGUGGAGGUCAGCGGAAUAUGUCAUGUAGCGGUGAAAUGCUUAGAUAUGACAUAGAACACCAAUUGCGAAGGCAGCUGGCUACACAAAUAUUGACACUGAGGCACGAAAGCGUGGGGAUCAAACAGG